This 517-nucleotide unclassified non-coding RNA is filed under the name Hevea brasiliensis (rubber tree). Lineage: Eukaryota; Viridiplantae; Streptophyta; Magnoliopsida; Malpighiales; Euphorbiaceae. The record is from RNAcentral.
AGAUAUAACGUGCCCGAGCUGCUUACCCCUAUACCCUAUAGAAAUCACUACAUAACGGAAACCGACGGAAUAAAAGUCCUUAUUACGAAUCUUAGCAGUGACAUCCAGGGUAACGUCGAUUGCAAUUUUGGGAAAUGAAUGAACUUUAAGGUGCCGGAGCUUGAGCCGGGCAAUGGAGAGUUCGGGAUCAGAGGGCCAUAUCAAGAAAAGUGCGGCGGAGAGGAGGAUGAACACGGCGGCGCAACAAACGUAUCGACGGGUAGGUCGCCGAAGAAAUUGUCGAGGGGUACGGUAGUAUUGAGGUAGAACGAUAAUGUAUUGGGGUUGUUGAUGUGGUUGGGGUGGAUAGGAAGGGAGGGGGUCGUAAGGUCUAGGGGGUGGAUCGGAGAGUUUAGAGGAAGCCAUUGAUGAAGGGUUUUAGGAGUUGAAAGGAGAGAACUAGGACCGGAGAUAUAAGGUGGAGGAGGAGUCUCGUGUAAUACAAAUUGUAUUUUUACUCAACUCAUGUUGGCUGUUG